UUACUACCAUUAUAUAUUCUACUACCAAUCCCUAUUUUUUUAGUAGUAUUUGUAUGGAUUUUCCAAAAUGCAUUAUUUUUGUUUUGAUUUUUAUGACAGAUGACUUACAAAACAUAAUCUUGAAAGACAAAUAUUUGUAUCCUUAAGGAAUAAUUUAGCAGAAGCUCCUGCUCCACCAUGAGUGGUGGUGGAGGUGAUGGCAGGAAGAAAAAAUUAACAUGUGUGAGAGGGAGUAAAAUGGAUAGUUGUCGAUCAUGGGAAAAUUAAUACGGUUCUCUUUGUUAAAAAAUAGUGGAUAAUUGAUAAGUUAGUUUAUAGCGGAUGAACUUAUAACGAAUAGUUUAUAAUCUAAUUUUUUAUUUAUAGCAAAUAAGUUAACUGAUUGAUUUUGUAGUGUUU
RNAcentral lists this long non-coding RNA (399 nucleotides) under Trifolium pratense (red clover). Its description in RNAcentral is "long non-coding RNA (TPRA_LNC006015)". Lineage: Eukaryota; Viridiplantae; Streptophyta; Magnoliopsida; Fabales; Fabaceae. The record is from RNAcentral.